UUAGAGCAUUGCCUCUAUUAAGUUUCAACAAUAUGAAUUGCUGCAUUCCCGGCUGCGUGUAUACGCACAAGCAAGGUCAAGAAAAAAGAUCGUUGUUUUCGAUUCGACGUCCCGAGUUUGCAUUCCCGGCUGCGCGUAUACGCACAAGCAAGGUCAAGAAAAAAGAUCGUUGUUUUCGAUUCGACGUCCCGAGUUUGCUAAGAGUCCUGCCGAAAAAGAACAUCGACGGAAAUUAACAAAUUUUAUACUCGGUAUCAGAGACCCUCUAAAAGGGGACAGAAUAAAAGAUCUGCUGCACAAAGAAAAGGCUUUCAUUUGUGAGGUACACUUUGCGGAAGAUGACCUAAUACUGCACAACACCAGAAAAACCUUAAAAACUGAUGCACUGCCAAAGUUUUUUUCUUCCAGAUCAAUGUCAAAACACACAUAAACAUAGCUGUUUCAUUGGACCUGGUCAUUUUGUGGGUAGCAUAUAGUGGGUGGAGGACAGAUAUUGCUCAAUUUUAAUCAGUCGAUCUUAAAAUAUUACCACUGAAAGAAUUCCUAGGUUUUUGUUGUUGCGCGAUAAACAUAAAUACUAUAGGCGCCAAACCUGGGGUAGCAUAUAGUAGGUGGAGGACAGGUUCUGUUGUUUAAUAAAUGGUUUGAAAUUGUAACUUGUGGGUCCAAUUGUCCAAUCUGGAAUGUGGAAGACCAGAGGCUUGAUUGGCUUGAGAAUGAAUUUAUAAAGUACAUGAGAGAUUGGAGGGUAAAUCUGAUUGAUAAUUUUCAAAUGAAUAGGUUUGUUCUUGAUUUCUACUACCUAGAUUGAAGUGGAUCAGAACCACCCAGGAGAAUAAAAAAGAAUAAUGGCAUGGUUUGUUGUUUACAACAACUAAUAUGGUUUCACUAGCAAAGCAGCUACUAGGAAGCCAACGCUAUGUCUGUUUAAAAGUGCUCACCGAGGAUGUGCUGGAAGCAACGUUUGGAAAUUUGGUAACUUAAACUUAAAUAGUUCCAACCCUCGGUGAAUUUAAAGUUCAUAAUGUUCUGUACAGAGAGCCUACAUGAGGCAUAACAAUAAUCCUAAUGUGGCACAAGUUGGGUAUGGUAUUUCUGCCCUGACACAAAGAAAGUCGAUUAAAAAGAUAAAAGGAGCUAAUACCACAUUUGGAAAUAAAAAUGCAUGGACAACUGUCUGUGAGGAACCACUACCAAAAUUUGCUAAAAAGACUUAAGUUGCUACCAAUCUGGUGAAGUCUACAUUUUUUGGCGAACCUGACGUUUCCUUGUUAUGCAAAUAGUACACCCGACAAACUAGUUUCUGAAAGUCUUUUGAAGGAUACUGCAGACCAAAGCCAUAGAAAUUGUUAAGUUACGACACGCUCACUGAACCGUGACAAUAGAAGGAGAAAUUGUGUGCAAAAUCAGGUCCAAUAUGGCGGUUUAAGAUGUUGUAGAAUACGUUGCAAAAAUAUAAACGCGCUUUAAAAGGUUUAAUUUGCCAUGCUUAAAUGCAUUGAUAGAAGGAAACAAAUAUAAGGCUGUAUUAGAAACGAAAAAAGUCAGCCAUUUAGUUUAUUCUGUAUUAAUUGUGAUAUAUUUAAGUGGUAAUACGCGAAAAUAGGAUUAUUUUUUUCUUGAGUUAAUUGCAGUUCCAAAAAUCUCGUUGAGCUCACAGGAUUUAGCAACUUCGUAUUUGUCGUAAAUUUGAAACUGUUAUUUAAUUUUACAUUCUAGAUUAUCUUGUGCUUUAAGCCUACUAUUACAUUAUAUACUGCCAUACAAGUUGCUGUACAGUGUACACUUUAAAACCAUAUCUGCACAACGGUAAGUUACUGUUCAGUCUGCUGGUAUAUUUUAUAUUUUUAAAUCAUACUUUAGGCUAUUUGUUUAAAAAUAAUAUUCACUCCAUACACCCAUAGUUUAUACAGAUUACAGAAUACUACCAGUACCAGAACAGUCAUGGGAAGUUGUUCAGCAGUGGAAUGUCAGAAUCGCUCCACCAAAGGCAUACG
Non-coding RNA from Ciona intestinalis (vase tunicate), 1997 nucleotides. NCBI's taxonomy places the organism in Eukaryota, Metazoa, Chordata, Ascidiacea, Phlebobranchia, Cionidae. The record is from RefSeq and is a predicted model, not a curated record.